CCCCUUUAUUACCUCUUUAAUAAUUGACUCCAGCACCUUUCCCACCACCAAAGUCAGGCUAACUGCUCUGUAAUUCCCCGUUUUCUCUCUCGCUCCUUUCUUGAAAAGUGGGAUAACAUUAGCUAUCCUCCAAUCCACAGGGACUGAUCCUGAAUCUAUUGAACAUUGGAAAAUUAUCACCAAUGUGUCCACUAUUUCUGGAGCCACCUCCCUGAGGACCCUGGGACUGACCAUUAGGUCCAGGGGAUUUAUCAUCCUUCAGUCCCAUUAGCCGACCCAAUACUAUUUCUUGCCUAAUGAAAAUUUCUUUCAGUUCCUCCACCCCCUUAGAUCCUCUGUCCUCCAGUACAUUUUGUGACCCAAAUUACGUAUCUACCUGUAUUUAUAACAUGUUCUGUAAAAAAUAUAUAUAUAAAUCAUUCCUGCAACUCGUCAAGAACAAAACCUGCACAUAUUUUUAAAAUAUCAGAGAAACCUUAAAGGAGGCCUAAAGAUUCUGAAUCCUUGGGGAAAAAAGUGACACAUCAGCUCUGCUUUGGAGAAGCACAGACUGAAUCUCAAUAGUUUGGAUAUAUCUAAUGUAAUUUAGUUUAAAAUAAGCAACAUAUCAUAAAAGUAAAAAAUUGGAAAAGUAAAUUUGCACUUAAUGAAUAACACAAGUUUUCCACCACUCCAAAGUUAAGAAUACAAUCUCCCUUGCAACAGAUUUCAUAGGCUAACGGCCAAAUUGAUUAGAAUCAAUUAUAUUUCAAAAACUGCAUUUAAUAUUUCAAACAGAUUUAAAUUACGUUGUGGAUUUUUUGUCAGAAGUCUAGGUGUCCAAUCCUCAUCUGACUCGCUGGAUUCGUAUACUUGGGCUUGACGCCUUCUGCUCCGAUUUGUCGUGAAUUCUGGCUUUGGUACGUCUAAUCCUGUGAAAAAUAAAACAUGCUCAUCAUCUGUUAUGGCCACAACUUCAGAUUUUCAGCAUCUGCGGUUCUUUGCUUUACACGUUGAUUUUGAUGUUGUGACCGGCCAACAACGAAUCAAAGGAGAUCAGAUACGUGGUGUCGUAAUCUACUGGGAUUCAAGUAACUAACUGUGGAAGUCAGAGCACCAGUUGUGACUGUGAGACGUGGUGUUGUGUUGGAAGCACACAGAUGGCCUGGGACGUUCAUUAGAUGCAUCAAGAAGUUGCUAUGGAGACGGUGCAGGACGUUCCCCCCGGUUACGGCAGGGUUCCCUUCCUGGGAACCGUUCCCAAGUGGAACAUGCAUCCGUGAACAGAGUUCCCACACGGCAGAAGAUGCCUGCAGCCCCGCAGCAGCCGGUAAAUCCAUCCCACCGUCUCCCAGACACUCGCUCAUGUGUACGGGCUGUACUUUACUGUGUCCGUAAGCUGGGGACAAUCUACACCUCAAACAAGUCAACUCGGGGCUGGACAACGAUUAAAGAUAAAGACGGAACAAAGAAAUAAUGACAGAAAAUGCUCAAAAUACUCAGCCGGUCGGGCAGCAUCUUGUGGAGAAAGAAACAGUUCAUGUUUCACGCUCCUGUAGAAACAGGCCCUUCAGCCCAACUUGUCCAUGCUGACCAAGAUGCCUCCUCUAAGCUGAUCCUAUUUGCCCACGUUUUGGCCCAAAGCCCU
Leucoraja erinaceus (little skate) is the source of this 1627-nucleotide long non-coding RNA. RefSeq lists it as uncharacterized. The transcript is spliced from 3 exons. The record is from RefSeq and is a predicted model, not a curated record. NCBI's taxonomy places the organism in Eukaryota, Metazoa, Chordata, Chondrichthyes, Rajiformes, Rajidae.